This 640-nucleotide unclassified non-coding RNA is filed under the name Hevea brasiliensis (rubber tree). The record is from RNAcentral. Lineage: Eukaryota; Viridiplantae; Streptophyta; Magnoliopsida; Malpighiales; Euphorbiaceae.
CUCAGAAAUAAUUUCUUCCUCCUAUGAAAAGUCAAAUUUAAAAAAUACAAAAAAUUACAUUAAUAACCCAAGUAAACUUAGUGUUAACUCCAUAUUUUCCAUUAAUUUGUGCAAAAUGAAUAAGAAGCAUCUUCCUAGCAUAUGGUAACAGAACAAACAUACUCCAUUAUCACAAUUUAAUUGGUGGUCCCAGUUUGUCCCAUGAAGGAAAUUUUAUAGUCAAUAAGACCAAAAUUUUACUACCGAUUGUCUGAAUCAAGUAAAAGAUGUUUAAUCAAAACAACAAAACUCCACAAGGAGAUGGAAAGGAAAAUCGGAUGAUUACACUAAAAAGCAUUAGUUGUGAAAUUACACUCUCAGGAAUGAAUAUUGCACAUGGCAUUAGUCAGCUGGGGGCGCCUCUGGCAGAACAAACACCUCUAAAAAAAAGGAUUUUCCAAAUGGGAACAAUAUGGGAUUGUAUUUCUAAAGCAUGAACAUGGAUGUUCACAAAAGGGAGUUGUCAUCUGUAAGAGGCAGUAUUGUAAAGCAAUCGCAAGCUAAUUUUUGGCUAGGGUCAAUAUAGCCACAAUCCUACAGUUAAUAAUUAAAAGAAGAGACAGCAAAAUCCGCUGAAAUUAUCAUCAUCAUCAUCAUCAUC